Molecule: unclassified non-coding RNA, 329 nt
Filed under: soil metagenome
Description: partial contains 5.8S ribosomal RNA, internal transcribed spacer 2, and large subunit ribosomal RNA
Rfam family: 5.8S ribosomal RNA (bases 1-120)
Source: RNAcentral
GAUGAAGAACGCAGCGAAAUGCGAUAAGUAAUGUGAAUUGCAGAAUUCAGUGAAUCAUCGAAUCUUUGAACGCACAUUGCGCCCCCAGGUAUUCCGGGGGGCAUGCCUGUCCGAGCGUCAUUACAACCCUCAAGCUCAGCUUGGUAUUGGGCCCCGCCGACCCGGCGGGCCCUAAAGUCAGUGGCGGUGCCGUCCGGCUCCGAGCGUAGUAAUUCUUCUCGCUCUGGAGGUCCGGUCGUGUGCUCGCCAGCAACCCCCAAUUUUUUUCAGGUUGACCUCGGAUCAGGUAGGGAUACCCGCUGAACUUAAGCAUAUCAAUAAGCGGAGGA